GCCCCGCCCCAGGAGAGUGUUGCCUCUCCUGAAGACCUGGCGCUCCCUGCGGUGGGGAGGCCGUGGAGACAGAGCCCGCGGGAAGGCUGCACCUGCCUUCCGAAAGGUCCCUGGUAAGCACUACCUUGAGCUCCAAGAAGGUCACCUUGCAACACAUCUGUUAAAGAAAAUAUGGAAUACUGCUCUUAGCUUUCCCAUCAGGUAAAAUGUUUCAUUUCAUUUCACGUAUAUUUUCAUUUAUGA
RNAcentral lists this long non-coding RNA (243 nucleotides) under Dasypus novemcinctus (nine-banded armadillo). RNAcentral's name for it is "lncRNA (ENSDNOG00000052773.1)". The record is from RNAcentral. Lineage: Eukaryota; Metazoa; Chordata; Mammalia; Cingulata; Dasypodidae.